Molecule: transfer RNA, 57 nt
Filed under: Myotis davidii
Lineage: Eukaryota; Metazoa; Chordata; Mammalia; Chiroptera; Vespertilionidae
Source: Rfam by way of RNAcentral
UGGCUCAGUGGAUAGAGCGUUUGCCUGCAGACCAAAGGGUCCCAGGUUCGAUUCUGG